RNAcentral lists this non-coding RNA (28 nucleotides) under Mus musculus (house mouse). Lineage: Eukaryota; Metazoa; Chordata; Mammalia; Rodentia; Muridae. The record is from RNAcentral.
UAAAGUGUACACUCAGUGAAUGCUGGCC